Molecule: ribosomal RNA, 253 nt
Filed under: uncultured bacterium
Lineage: Bacteria
Description: partial 16S ribosomal RNA
Rfam family: Bacterial small subunit ribosomal RNA
Source: RNAcentral
UACGUAGGCAGCGAGCGUUGUUCGGAAUUACUGGGCGUAAAGAGUGUGUAGGCGGCGCGGUAAGUCACUUGUGAAAUCUCUGAGCUUAACUCAGAACGGCCAAGUGAUACUGCAGUGCUAGAGUGCAGAAAGGGCAAUCGGAAUUCUUGGUGUAGCGGUGAAAUGCGUAGAUAUCAAGAGGAACACCUGAGGCGAAGGCGGGUUGCUAGGCUGACACUGACGCUGAUGCGCGAAAGCCAGGGGAGUAAACGGG